AUGUUUCUAUCUCUCCCUUUCCCUUUCUCUCUGAAAUCAAUUAAAAAUAUAUAUAGCAACAGUCCCAAAAGAAUGACAAACUAAGGGAGCAUUUACUAAGACUGGGCACUUAAAUCUGCUUCAUUUUAUUUAAUCCACACAGGAACUGUUUUCAGGGCAGGGCUACUCUUUGCCCGAUUUUACUGCAGAGAAAACUCGGGCUCAGAGGGAUAAAGUGACUUGCCCAAGGUCACAGAGCUGACCAUCUCACUGACACUACCUCUGUUUCCUUCUCUGCCUCUCAGUAUGGGCAGCUAUGUGGGGACACUUGGUUCCUUCACAGAAAGUGUGGAGGAAGACACUAUGGUACAUAAUGAUGACAGUUCCUCUUAUCUAUUGCUUCAUAAUAAACCAUCCUGAAACACAA
Myotis brandtii (Brandt's bat) is the source of this 406-nucleotide long non-coding RNA. RefSeq lists it as uncharacterized. NCBI's taxonomy places the organism in Eukaryota, Metazoa, Chordata, Mammalia, Chiroptera, Vespertilionidae. The transcript has 2 exons. The record is from RefSeq and is a predicted model, not a curated record.